UCCAACAACCUAUUUUAGUUCCCACUCUACAAUCUCAUUAUUGACUGCAAAGAAGCCAUUGAAAGAAAUUGAAGAUGUGAAGUUACUCAUAUCUAUAGAGAAAAUAAUGUCUUAGCUAAUCACACGUCUGACUUAGGUCAUGGGUUAUCACUUGGUCUUCAUGUUUUUGCUUCUCCUUCUACCAUUGCUACUAAUUUUAUAGUUUCUAAUACUAUUGGCAGGGCCCUCCCUAGAGCUGUUUUUUAGUAGCUUUUUUGUUUUGCUUGUUGGGCUUUGCCCUCUUCUGUACCCAAAAAAAAAAAAAAAAAAAAAAAUAUUGGGAAAUUUAUUUGGACCCAACUUUUUUAUCUCUACACCCAAAUAAUAUUUUCUCUUAUCUAAUCUUCCAAAUUUGUCCUUAAAUAACAAACAUUGAAGUUUUCUUUGUAUCUCUACACCCAAACCCCACGAUCCACCACUGUAGGGCGCUCCAUUAUUUCCGACAAACCCAACUCAAACGCCAGCAACACUAAAAUCGACAAAUCAAGACUGGAGAACAAAUGGUGUAGGAGUCCUAAUGUGAAUAUUAAAGCAAACUUAAGUUGCAAAACCCUUUUUUAUUUCAAUCGAUGAAAGGACCUUGGGUUAUGAACAUAAGGAACCUAUUAGGGUUUAGAGGUCCCCUCCACAUCAUAUGCAUAAGCCCUUUUUCUUCAUUCAUUAAUUUACGGAAGGGAAAAUUAAUACUAUUAUUCUCAUAAAAAGUGGGAAUACCAAGGAAAGAGAUCCUCUCCACACCAUAUAUUUUUCUUUUCUGAGUAGUUAUAUCCAAUGGAGAGAGGAAAACAAGAGCACCAAUGGUCGCAGGUUCACCGGAGAAAAUGAAGGUGCAGUGGUGAUGUGAGUUUAGGGUUAUUGGGUGUAAAGAUAACAACUUUAAUAUUUAUUUUCUCAUUUUUAUUUAUUUAAGGGCAAAUUUGAAAGUUUAGUAGAGAAAAUUUGUUAGUUGGGUGUAGAGAUAAAAAGGUUGGGUCCAACAAAAUUUCUCAUAAAGUUUAAUCACGCGAUUAAGUUCUUGUGCAAUGAGUAAAUUGUAGCAAUGACCCAUCAACUAAAAAUCCAUUAUUAUUGAUCCCUCAACUCAUCAAAAUAUGUAGUUAUGGUCAUUUUCGUCAACUUUGUAAGAAUUUUGUCAAAAUAAAUUAUGUUGGAAGGACCAUUGUUACAAUUAAGGUCCUUCAACUCAUCAAAACAUGUAGCUAUGGUCAUUUUCGUCAACUUUGUCAAAAUGAGUUAUGUUGGCAUGACCAUUAUUGCAAUUGGGUUAAAGUUGAGGAAUCAUUGCUCCAAUUGGGUUAAAGUUGAGGGAUCAUUUCUCUAGUUAGAUUAAAGUUGGGGGACCAAUGAUAAUUAAGUUUUAGUUAAGGGAUCAUAGUUGCACGUUUUGAUGAGUUGAGAGAUCAAUGAUAAUGAAUUUUUAGUUAAUGGAUCAUUACUCCAAUUGAGUUAAAAAUAAAGGACCAUUGCUACAAUUUACUCUUGUGCAAUAGAAGAUUAAUUUGGCCGAACAACCUGAUUAAGGUGCCUACUUUCUCUUUAAUUCAUUGGUAUCAUUUAUUUUCCCUUAAGCUGAAUUAUGCUCAAUUUAUGUAUCAAUAUUGUAAAGUUGUCUUUGUUAGAGUAAUUUGGACAAUAUAAAUUGAAAAUUAUUUGUGUAUAUGGAAAAGAUUAACCUCAGGGGUCACUUCGCCGGACUCCGUAGCAAUCUCCACCACUCCAAUCGUAAUGGUGAGUAAAUCACUUGUGUUUGUUUCCAUUUUUUCAAUUGGAAAUUGGGGGUUUUGAAUUCAUAUUUUGUCAAUUGGUUUUGUGAGCACUGAGAAUACACUACGAGCUUGUGUGUGUGUACAAUAUGUUGGAUUUGAUCUUUAUAAAGAAUGCGAGAAAUUGGGGUUAGGAAAGAGAAGAAAAGGAAACAGAACUCGAACUUCGAUCUUCAUUCUUGUUACUAAAGGAGAAAACCGAAUUUGAACCGGUUCAUACGUAAUCGAACCGAAUUUGUAUAGUUCGGUUCACCCCUUAGUACCGAACCGUACCAUACCAAAAAAAAUUUCUUGAGUUUGGUUUUGAUACAUCCCUCAUACUGUACCAUACCAAAUCGUGGCCAGACCUACUGAAUACAAAACUUAUAUCUGGGUCGUAAGUCGUAAGGCCUCCAAAAAAAAAGUUCAUAUUAUUCAUACCAAUCGGACAAAUCCCGCACCCAAAAACAAUGGCUAGAUAGAAAGUUCAAUUAUAGAUUAGGUAAUCUAUCCUUUUCAACUUAAAUGCACAUUCAUGAUGGUUAUGCAAAUCAUAUUAUGUUAACAAAUGCAACAAUUAAUUAUAUUUAUCCAUUUGGAAUGAUAUAUAUUUUCAAAGAUGGAAUUACAGACCCCGUUGACGUUGAGGCCAUUGCAUGAGAGAAUUUUAGAUGAUUUUCAAUUAAUUUAUAUUAUUGUUGUGAUAACCAUAAUAAUUAUUUUCUAAAUGUAAAACUAUAUUAAUGAAAUUUUCUUUGUCGGUCAAAAGAAGAUGAAAAGAUAUCUUUAUCUUCUAUCACAACAAAAAAAUUAAGGAUAUUAAUGUAAUAGGCUAAUAGCGAUGGGGUGAAGAAAUGGAACUAUCCUAAAUAGGCAGUUGCUGGUUAUAUUGGAUCAGGUGGUCUGAAUGAUUGGAUAAUUAGCAAAUAAAAAGGUUCCAUUUUUCAUGGACCCUCAAGUGGAAAUAUGGGAUAAAAGAUGGCAUAUACCAUUUUAUCCAUUUGUGAUUGUACAUUUUGAUGGUUGUGAUUUCACCCGAUGGCGCGGCAAGUGUGGAUUGGGAUAAGGAUGGUUUUGGUCUAUCAUCAAAGAUGGUUUGAUGUUCACGACUGGAUUUUACAACGCAUCCAAGUGCAUGGGUUCUAUAAAUACAGAGUUGCGCACAAUAAAAAAGUACAAAGGACCUUCAAACCUUUCACACACUCUGAGAAACUCCUGAUUCUCCCAACUUCGUCAACACAUCUUCAAUUUGGAUUAACAUCACUGUUUGUCAGUGAGGAGUCCUUAGUCUUCUCGUCUCAUUAGCCCUCUAGGUGAAGUGAGGUGUUACUGAAUUACUUGAGUAUUCAGCACAUUGAAAGUCGAACCUUAUUUGAACUUCACAGUAGUUAGCAAUCUUAUCUUCAGGUUUUAGAACCCAAUGCCAAGACAUAUUCCUUCCUCGACAGUGAUGGUUUGUACACAAAAGUUGGUUUGUACACAUAAGUCAGUAUUGUGUUUGACACACCAUCCCAUUCAUUCUACUAGCCCACAAACGCGUGGACUCGUCCAAAAUUACCCCACUCUCGGCCCGUUCACUUGCCCACUCGUCCCACGCGGCCCGUGAGUCUUCAGUGCCUGAUAGGGGGGCCUACUGUUAGGGCCGUUGUUGGCCACAACCCAGAGCCCAACGAUUUUUUUUUGCAUCCCACGACUGGCAUUUUUGGACCGUUGGUUGAUCCAACGGUCCAGAUUCAAAUUUUGUUUUUUUAAAUGUUAUUUUAAAAUACAUUGAAUCCAACGGCUGAGAUCGAAUAUAAUCAAAUCUAACGGUAAAAUAAAAAAAGAUAAAAAAAGAUAUAACAGUCCAAAUUUAAAUCCAACAGCUAAAAUAAUUUUAAAAAAAAUUAUUUAACUCAAAAUUCACCCAAAAACUCUAUAAAUACCUUUGUAUUUGUUCAAACAUCCACACAAAACUCAAUUUUCUCCCACAAUUCUUCCAUUUUUUCUUUCUACCAUUUCUUUCCAUUUCCAAAUUGUUCAACACGAUCCUUGAAUUGGCCAUCCCAAGCAGUAAGACAAUUCUUCCACUCCCAAAGCAUACAAUCGAGACUUCCUAUCAUGUCAGGAAAGCCUAUUUUGUCUGCUUUGAGUAGAAUGUGACGACAUGUCCCGAAUUAUUAUAUAUUUUUCUCCCUAAGUGUGUAAAGUGACGGUAAUGCCCUCGUGAUUUAGUGACGUGGAUGUACAUAUGUAGUUUUAAAUUAUUAUUUCUAUUGUCGUAGUUAAAUUGUACUCGACGCCAUGAGUGUGUUGAUGUGACCUAGGGCUAAAACAAAUUCGUAACGAAGAAGUUACGAACAGACGAGUGUGUAAAUGCGUAGAAAUAUAUUUUUAUGGGUUGGCUAUACCUUACCCACCAAUCACCUUAAUUCCUGAUUUCUUUGGCCUAAUUGAAUUAAAAAUAUCUCUCAUUUUUCCUUCUGCCCAAUCACGCACAUACACACCAUCACUCUCUCUCUUCUCUCGGACCUUCUUCUUCUUUCUUCUCAUUCCGUACACCCGAGCCACCCUUACCUCACAAUCAUCAUCAAAACAUUAUGGAUCGAAUUGGAAAUCACUACCAUCGCAGUCACCUCGAUCCCACGAACUCAUUGAUACCCUUAGGUCGAGGAAUAGACGUCGGGAAUUCGAGAACUCGGGAGCUCUGGCGAGGUGUAUUUUUCUACUUUGUGAUCGUGGUCUUUUUCUAUGGUUUAAAGGCUUGAGGUGGGUCCUAAUCAACUUUAUAGGGACCCUAGAUUAGUUUUGGAGCAGUUUGAACGUUGGAAUAGGUGAGAACAUGGAGUUGCAGGUUGGCCGGUUGAUCCAAGCCUUACUCCGACCACUUUCUGUCGGUUUUAGAACCUCAAGUAGGUAAGAUUGUAUUCUUCUAGUUGAGAGUUUCAAAUCCAUAUAAAAUUCAUGGAAUUUGGUUGAAAAAUGAUGAAGAUAUUAAAGUUUUAAGAUUUUUCCAAAAAUCAGCGACACAAACGGCGCCCGACGGCCAGCGAUGGAUUCCGACAAAGCCAUCGGAGAAGGAGGAGAAUAUUAUGUCUAACUUUGACAGAAUAUACUAACAGCGUCAGGUAACUCUAUUAGUUUUUAAACAAAAUAUUCUACUAUUUAAUGAAAUAUUCCCUAACGCCGUUAGGGAUUCCGUGCCUGCACGUGCCGGCUUAUGAGGGCGCGUGAGACGUCAGGAAAUUAAUCUAAAAAUAUUGGGGUGUUCGAGUUGUUGAGUAGGUCAUGUUGGUAUAUUCAAACACCCUAUUUGAGCAACGUAUGAGAAGUUAUUCCUAGGGUUUGUGUAUGUGCCUUAAAAUUAAUGUAAAAUUAGUUAUUUCGCAUAUAGGUGAGACUUACCCGGAGGACAAACGUGGUCAAACGAGACUUGGGGGCUACGAUCCUACUACUUACCAGUGAGCGGGCUUUUUUUUUCUAUAUAUAUGUAAAUAUGCUUAUGAAUCCCAUAAACUACUUUAAAUGAACGUAUGUUUUAAAUGCCAUGUCGUGUGCAUUAUGUGUUAGUAUUGCAUUAGUAUAGCUAUGCAUAGUAUUGGAUGAGACUGCGCAGACUCAGGUAAGUUUCAGGUGAGUACAUCAUGAUGGUAUUGGGUGCGUGUGUGUGGUUAUACGUUGAUGCAUUUUGAGCUUAUUAUCCUGCACAUUGGUGUUAGUGUUCUCGCCCAUGGCCAGGGCAUAGUUUUUCACAUGAUGUUCACCUCCUGGGCCGCACGCUCACUUUGGAUCCAAGUUUGGUGCACAGCCAUAUUGCACAGACCACAAUAGGUGGUUCCGACUCGUAGGUGACCUGCAAUUAUUUGCACAGCCUUCACGUGAUCGUAGCACUUAAGCGUACUUAUCUACACCCAGCCCUGUUGUACAGACCACAAUAGGUGGUUCCGACUUAUGUGCAUGCAUACUUGAUGAGCUAUAGAUUCAAUUGUACAGGUUACAUUAGGUGACUCCGGUUGGCAUACUAUUUUAGGUUGAUUCGUAUCACCUGGCUUACACAUUUUAUGGUUGAACAUCUUGACAUGGCAUACCUCUGUUUUCACUGCUCUAAGCAUUAUCCUUAUGUACCUAGUUGUUAUUAUUUUCUGGAAAAUUAUAUGGGUUUACAGUGAGGGGUUAGUAUGUUCAUAAAGACAACUGUGUUUUCAAAAACUUUGUUUUUGCCUACUCACAUUUUUUGUUUUGCACCCUUUCAGGUUCUAGGUAGUUGGUCAUCCUUGGUGGCUCACGAGGACUUUCACGGCGGUUCUGACAUCUCUGUAAAUAAGUAGGGAUUUUUUUCCCUGUUUGUAUAAUUAGUACUUAGUUGGUUCGAUUGCACUUUCGUUUACCCAUGCUCUGAUAUUUGUAUAACUUGCUUGGUCAUCUUUACUCACUUAUAUUAUCUUAGUUUAGAUAAGUUUGGUUUUAGGUUUUUAUUUAUUCGCAUUUCUUUUAUUAUUACUUCUGUUGCGCAUUUUGGCUACGUUACUCUUACGUGACGGGCAUCAUGUUUCGACUUCGGUUGGGGUGUGUCAUAAAAGCCUCUUCAAGUCUUCAUGAUUUGGCUUGCAGAGAUAUGUGGCUCCAUAUGUGGCCUGAAUUGCCCCACAGAAGCGCUCCAGGUUUUUAAUAGCAGUAGUCUCCGCAAGUCGGCAAUACUCAUCAGUUGAGUUUGCAGAGCACUCAUUAGCUAGCAUCCGAAAUGCAGAUGUGAGCUUCUGAUGAGGUGAUAGACUUUGUCGGCCUACGACAUUUAUCUUCCUUGCAAAGUAGUGGUCAUGAUUGACAACUGUGUUCAAGAUGCUUUCAAAAAUCUCUCUCCUCAUUCGAAACCGUCUCCGAAAAUCAUGAGCAGGAAAUCUCGGACGCUCAAUAAAAUAAUAUUUCAUCAUUCGGUCAUGACACUCUUCUCUAUCACGUUGCACAAAUGAACGCUUCGUGACAUAACCACAAUAGCUAGAUUCGACAUGGUGCUCAUAUUGCAUAAGCGAGUUUGGAAGUUUAGCUUAUGCGUUGAUCAUUUUUGAAUCCUCAAUGUCAAGGCUUGCUUGGUAUUAUGUCAUUUGCAUUGCCCUGCUACACCUUCUUCUAUCAUCCAUUGUUGAUAUAUUGAGGAUUUUUAUGAAACAAAAACACUUUGAAAGUUGAAAGAUUAGUGAAUAUAGGGAAUGAUUGAAGGUUGAAAGAUUGUGUGACCAACUGAUAUUGAACAUGUGUUUAUAUAGAGGAUGAUUGAUGAAAGUUGAAAGUUUGGUGAAAGUUGAACGGUUGGUGAAAGUUGAAGAUUUGUGAAAGUUAAAGACUUGCUUUGUGGAAAGAUUUAGUGAUUUUUUCAAUAUUUAUUGGAAUUUAAAUAUUUUUAUAUUAAAAUGUUCAUAAAAUUAAUUUACCAUAGGCUACAUAAUUUUUUUUAAAAGUUAAUUUAAGAAAAAAAAUUAGCCUAAGUUCAUUCUUUAAUAAUCCCGAACUAAAAUUUUAGGCUAGGGUUGGAGCAGAAAAACUGUUUCUGUGUUAAAAGCUAAAUUUUUUAGAUUAAAAAUUUUAAAUUUUAACCCAAAGGUUGGAGAUGAUUUAAGAAUGGAUAAACUUAACCAAGAAAAGAAGAAAAAAGAUGAAGGGCAAAUAAGUGAGAAGCAACAUGACACGACACACGGACGACCAUAGCAAUAAAGCGUGCGUCCUCACGUCCAUUGAAUAUAUAGAUGGGAGCUACAACAUCGUGUUUCACGUGCAUGUGUAUUAUACAUAAAGGCAUAUACAGUGUUAGCUUAUAUAUUAUAAAGUUUGUAGGCCACUUACCCAAUUUGGCAUAUGUUUUAUCUUUUUACGUGAAUAACCAAUGUGUUAUGAUGAUACAAGUCUCUUAACAUAUCCGGAGUUAGAAAUAUCAUAAGACAGUGUUGCGAUCAUAUUGAAAUUAAUUGACAGUUUGUAUUAUAUAUUUGAUUAUUCUUUAUUAACUUAAGGAGACAGCAUACUUAGACCUAAUUUAGUCACAUUCUCCAACCGAAAAUAAAGCGGUGUAGUAUUCAUACACUUUUUUUUAUUUCUUACACAGUCUUAAUUAAUUUCUAUUGUUUGAUCUUCUUCAAUUCAUUCGAUCUGACGACCGAAAAUUAAGAUGGUGUGUGGACGAGUAAAUUAUAACAAUGGUCCCUCAACUUUAAUCAAAUUGGAGCAAGGGUGCUCAACUAAAAAUCCAUUACCAUUGGUUCCUCAACUCAUCAAAAUGUGUAGCUAUGGUCAUUUUCGUCAACUUCGUUACAAUUUUGUCAAAAUAAGUUAUAUUGGAAUGACUAUUGCUACAAUUGGGGUCCCUCAACUCAUCAAAACGUGUAGCUAUGGUCAUUUUCAUCAAUUUCGUUAGAAUUUUAUCAAAAUGAGUUUUGUUGGAAUGACCAUUGCUACAAUUGAAUUAAAGUUGAGGGACUAUUAUUUCAAUUGAGUUAAAGUUGAAAGAUCAUUUCUUCAGUUGUAUUAAAGUUGAAGGAUCAAUGGUAAUGAAUUUUUAGUUGAGGGGACUAUAGCUGCACGUUUUAAUGAGUUGAGAGAACAAUAAUAAUGAAUUUUUAGUUGAAAAACUAUUACUUCAAUUGAGUUAAAAUUAAGAAACAAUUGCUACAAUUUUUUUAUAUGGAAAGUGGAUGAUGUGAAUAGCACAUCCAAAAAUAAAAGGGAACUUUAACGAAAAGCACCCGGUACUGUUCACUUUAACGAAAAACCACAUUUUUACACUAAAAAGUCAAUCCUGGUACUAUUCACUUUACCCUUUAUUUUGUCCUUAUCAUUAAAACUCAAAGUUUUCAAGCCCUUUUCAUUAGUUUUCCUAAAAUAAAAUGCACCACAAUUUGGUAGGAUCUUCCUGUUGAGAGUAAUAAAUUAAUAAUUGCCGAAAUAUUGGAUAAUUUGUCGGCCACAACGCUAUGAGGGAGUAUCUGGGGAUGAAUAUACUCUUGCCGACAGAUGCCCAAAUUCCAACUGCCAUUCAAAUGAGCCCUCCACCACCACCGGCCAUAAUAAAUUCUCUUUCUUUAGUGAAGAAGAAAAAGAGGUACUUGGCCCUCACCUCAACUUUUUGAGAAAGAACAAGUUUAUCGCUAUCAGAAUGUUUCGGUCAAUUAUAUAAGUUAUGUGUAAAUUUUUCUUUAGAUAACAUUACAUUAUUAUAUUUAAAAUGUUCCGUAACGAUAAAUUUGUUUCAUACAAAUUAUUCUCCAACUUCUUGGAUUUUUCUCCUUUUUCCCGAAAACCAGCUUAUAUUAGUGUUCAUCCUCUGUCAAUAUCACUCGCCCACAACUAUUCAACUAACUUUUAAUAAUUUGACAACGUGUCAUAUUUUUGUGCAAAGCGGGCCCAUUUUUGUGGGUGAUAUAAUAAUGGCGUAUGUGGUUUGUCAAGACAUAUACUCAUUUAUCCAUUAGCAGUUAGGUAAGUCACCUCACUCACCCACAGCCUAACACAUCAACAAAUAUUGCUUACAAAUUCUAGAAAAUUCGACCAAGAAAAAAAACCAAAUGCUCGCAAAUUAAAAUUGUGUAACAUGAUUAGUUUUUUAUCCAUUAGUAUUAAUUUUACGUUGGAAGAAAUUCCAAAUUUAUUCUUGUAAAGAGGGAUAUGAAAAUACUUUGUAUGUCUAUCACCAAAAUCUUCGAAUGUUUGAAUGGUUGAUUUUCAAGUCUCACACAAUUGGAUUUAGUUCAAGUGAGAAAGAAAUACACUCAAACUAUUAGAUAUGAGGAAUGAAAAUACACUACAAAAUCUUGUGAACAUUUCUAAUAUUCUCUUCUAUCUACUUUUUGUGAACCAAGUUUUUAUUUGUUUUUUUUUUUAACAAAAGAUAUUUUUUAUACUAGGGAAAUAAGGUGGGUUUAGCCUCAUAAUGGGCUAACAUAAUCUAGUUCAAACUUGCAUUUGGUGAGAAUCGAACCUAAAAUCUCUCACUUACAAGUGAAGAGGAAUACCAUUAGAAGUGUCAUGAAAUUAGCAGUCUUAUAUGUAAAAAAUUGAUUGACUAAAUGCUGUGUUAAAAAACAAGAUUAAUACUUGCAUCUCCCCACUUGGAAAAUGCAAAUAUUUCAUUUCUUGCAAAUAACGUAUAUCAUGCGUUCUGUUCAAUCGCAUAUUCAAAAAUGUUAAAAACAAGAUUAAUAUUUCUAUCUCCCCACUUGGAAAAUGCAGUAUUUCAUUUUUUACGAAUAACGUAUAUCCUGUGUUCCGUCCAAUCGCGUAUUAAAAAAAUGUGUGAAGUUUGGAUUAACUACACUCUUUGAGAAUUUCCUUAAAUAACCACUUUUUGAAAAUUUCUUAUAGGACUAAGUGAGUCUCCGCUGAGAAUUUCCUUAACUAACACAACACUACUUGAGUGAUAAUUUGUUAUAUCUUGAAUAGAGAAUAAAUCAGUUCCCUACUUUUGAAGGUACUAUUAACUUACACUAUAUUUGAAUGAGAACAAUAAACUUAGAAUUUAGAUGAAGGAAAUAAAACAGUUUCCUACUUUUGAAGGUACUACUCGAGUGAUAAUUUGUUAUAUCUUGAUAACGUGUCAUAUUUUUUUGCUAAGCGGACCCAUUUUUGUGGGGUGGUAUAAUAAUGGCGUUUGUUGUUUGUCAAGGGCAUAUACCCAUUUAUCCAUUAGCAGUUAGGUCACCUCACUCACCCACAACCUAGUACAUCAACAAAUAUUGCUUACAAAUUCUAGAAAAUUCAACCAAGAGAAAGAAAACCAAAUGCUCGCAAAUUAAUCUGUGUAACAUUAGUUUUUAUCCAUUAGUAUUUAUUUUACAUUGGAAGAAAUUCCAAAUUUAAUCUCGUAAAGAGGGAUAUGAAAAUACUUUGUAUAUCUAUUAUCAAAAUCUUUGAAUGUUUGAAUGAUUGAUCAUCAAGUCUCACACGAUUGAAUUUAGUUCAAGUGAGGAAGAAAUACACACAAACUAUUAUAUAUGAGGAUUGAAAAAUACACUACAAAAUCUUGUGAUAACAUUUCUAAUAUUCCUUUCUAUCUACAUUUUGUGAUAAGUUUUUUUUUUCCUUUUUUGAACAAACUAUAUUUAUCUACAUUAAGGGAGAGGAGGUGAUCUUAGCCUCACAAUGGGCUAGCAUAAUGUGGUUCAAAUUCGCCUUUGGCGAUAAUCGAACCUAAAACUUAUCAUUUACAAGUAAAUAGGAAUACCACUAGAUGGAUCAUGAAAUUAGCAGUCUUAUAGGUAAAAAAAAAUUGAUCGACUAAAUGAUGUGUUAAAAAACAAGAUUAAUACUUGCAUCUCUCCACUUGAAAAAUGUAGAUAUUUCUGUGAACACGGAAAAUUCCUGAAACGAAAGAGACAAGAACAACGUGCACAAAAUAAUAUUUUGGUGUUAAUGGAUUUGUUGGGUUACGAUCUCUUUUAACUUGAUCCUCUGAUUCGAUCUCCGUAAGGUGUUGAUUUAUGGAUGUUUCGUUGAUCCAAGGGCUGUUGAGGCUUGAUCUUAGAUGAACUGUUGGAAGUUUCUUCAAGGGGCCGUGGGCUUGAUCUUUGAAGGUGGAUUUGAGCGGAUCUUCAAGGAGCCGUUGGGGCUUGAUCUUGAGGAUGAGUGUUUCUUCAAGGGCCGUUAAGGCUUGAUCUUGAAUAACGGUGAUGAACGGAUCUUCAAGGGCUUUUGGGCUUGAUCUUGAAGAACGGUUGGAUGUGUGGAUUUGUUGAUGUUGUUGAUCCAAGGGCCGUCGGAGCUUGAUCUUGGAAGAACGAUGAACGAAGAACGAAGAACACUUUCUUCAAAGGCCGUCGGGGCUUGAUCUUGAAUUGGUGAUUGUUGAUCCAAGGGCCGUCGGGGCUUGAUCUUGGAAGAACGAUGAACGAAGAACGAAGAACACUUUCUUCAAGGGCUGUCGGGGCUUGAUCUUGAAUUGGUGAUUGUUAAUCCAAGGGCCGUCGGGGCUUGAUCUUGAUUCUUCGGGAUGAACGGAUGAUGAACAAUGAACACUUUCUUCAAGGGCCGUCGGGGCUUGAUCUUGAAUUGGUGGAAGUUCUUCAAGGGCCUUUGGGGCUUGAUCUUGAAGGUGGAUGAUUGUUGAUCCAAGGGCCGUCGGGGCUUGAUCUUGGGAUGAACAGUUGUGUGGAUUUGUUGAACACUUUCUUCAAGGGCCGUCGAUGCUUGAUCUUGAAUUGGUGGAAGUUCUUCAAGGGCCGUUGGGGCUUGAUCUUGAAGGAGGAUUUGACGAAGAACGAAGAGGGCUUUCUUGAUCCUUCGGGAUUUGCUUGAAUUUGGGAGGUUGGAUGCUUGAAAGCUUUAGAGUUUCAAAGCUUCAAGGAUUUUGGAUGUGUGGGGAGUAUUCUCUUCCAUUUUGGGAGUAGAGAAAUGUAUUUGUGAAUUGGUUUUUGAUACCUUGAUGUAGAAGCCUAUUUAUAGGCUUUGAGAAUGAAUCACCACCACAAAAUAUUUUUUUUCUUUUCCAAGCACCAUUGCCUAAUUUCCCACUUAAUACAAUUUUAAACUUGAAGUGGUAAUUUUAUGGCCUAAUUUUCCACUUAAUAUCAUUUUAAACUUGAUAUGUGCAUGCUUUGUCAUUGCCCAAAAUGAGAAGAAAACCUUGUUUUGAUCUUCAAUGAAUUGAAAUGUGCUUGCCUUGUCAUUGCCCAAAAUGAGAAGAAAAACUUGUGUAAUCCUUCAAGGGUAUUUCUUUUUAUUUUGUUGAGUCGCACACCAUGUGUACAAUUUGUAUGACACGUGGCAUAUGCCAUGUACGCCUUGACACGUCAAAAUUUUAAUGCGUUGGUGAACAUUUAUUUCACCGCAAUUUCGGUGUCUACAAAUGCCCCCACUUCAAGGUGCGUCGUAUACAUGUGCUUGUCACGUGUAGGAGAUGCGUUUUGAAGUCCCUUACUGUAGAUGUCAAUCCAAUGGCCAUCGAGGCUUGAUCUUGAAUUGGGCUGGAGAUUUCUUCAAGGGCCGUUGAGGCUUGUUCUUGGACUUUGUUUGAAAUUUCUUCAAGGGCCAUCGAGGCUUGAUCUUGAAGGUUGAAAUUGGACCACAAGGAGCUUCAUGUGGUAGAUGAUCUUUGGCUUUGGUAGUGGAUGAAUCGGCACGUAUUUGUUUUUGCGCUUUGUUGACUUUCCACAGCUUUGAUCUUGAACUGGGUUGGAGGAUUUUUUGGAUUCCUCCAAUUGUUGAUUUUCCACAGUUUAUUCUUGAACUGGAUUUGAUUCAAAUAUGGUGGACGCUUGAUCUUGAAUCGGACUUGUGAUUUCCUCAAGGGCCGUCGAGGCUUGAUCUUGAAUUUGGCCGGAAACUUCUUCAAGGGCCGUUGAGGCUUGAUUCUUGAAGGUUGACUCGAACACAUGGCAAGCAGGCACGAGGUGAAGGUGACGACUUGUUGCUUUGUUCAAUCUUUCUAAUUCACACCUGAGCAGUUUGGUCAACGGUAUGAUCUUCAAGAUUGAUGGGCUCUUCUUCCAGUUGGUGAUUUGAUCUUUAAGGAUUUGAUUCAAGGGUGGUGAAACGGCACAUGCAGCCCACAACGCCUAGCAAGUCGACCCAAGAAUUUGAGGGUUAAAACGAGUCCUCCACCCAGAGUGAUUGCAAACCUGAUGAUAUGAGAUACUUUUGAUUUUGAAGAAGUAGCGGAUGAAUCGGCACGUGCUUUGUUGUGCUUGUCUCCACAUGCUUCAAUGUAUCAUUUUCCCUUGUCUUAUCUAUUCUUCUAGCAGAAUGUAGCAUCUUCUUAAGUUCUUCAACUCAGACUCCUUCUGCUGAGCUGACUGUGCAGGCUGCAUUAUUCUCUGCUUGUUUCUUUAGGCAGAUGUGGCAGCUUCUUGAGUUCCUCAGCUCGGACUCCUUCUGCUGAGCUGAUUGUGAAGACUGCAUUCUUAUCUGCUUGUUUCUUCUGUACGUUGUCUCCACAUGCUGCAAGGUAUCAUUUUCAAUUGCCUUAUUUGUUUUCCAGGCAAAUGUGGCAUCCGAGUUUGAGUGGAGGUUCUGGCAUAUUGUUUUCUUUAUCCUUGUCUUUGUAGGUAAGAACAAGGACAAAGGAAAGGACAGGGAGAACGCAUGAUAUGAUAUACUCUUGCUUUCUACCCUGGUGAUAUGAGAUACUUUUGCUUUGGUGUCAUUUGUUUGCAGAGGUACCCCAAGGAAUAAGAAACACUGAGUGACUCGAGAGGCUUUGUUGGGAAGGCAUUCUAGGAGAUGAAGAAAGGUUCUUGGAGAUGAAGAAAGGUUCUCGGAGAUGAAGAAAGGUUAUGUAUGUCUGCCUUGCUAUGGAGGGUAAAGGUGGACAGUUAUAGGAAAUUCUUUAGUACCUGUAGAGGUACUAUUCUUUUACUCGUGUCGGCAACCAAUGUGUGAUUGAUCAGUAUGGCUUCACGUGUUUUCUUCUUUAUCAGAAAUCUUCGACAAAUUGUCCGUAAUUUUCGUCAAGCUGAGUGUGCAUGUGACAGGUGUUGACGAGGCUGAAAAAGACUGGUGCCUCUUCGAUAUCUGGGAUCGGCGCUUCGACAAAUUGCCCGUGAUUUCCGCAAAGCUGAGUUUGCGCGUGACGGGUGCUGACGAGGCUGAAAAAGACUGGCGCCUCUUCGAUAUCUGGGAUUGGCGCUUUAACAAAUUGCCCAUGAUUUCUGCAAAGCUGAGUUUGCACGUGACGGGUGCUAACGCGUCUGGAAAAGCAAGAUGCUUCUCCGAUUUCUGAGCUUGCCUCUUUGAUUUUUGAAUUGGCCUCUUCGAAUUCUGAGCUCGCCUCUUCGAUCUUUGAAAUCCCAUCGAGUGUUGAUCUUUAUAGAGGCACGCAGUUCGUUUCAAAGCACACUUGAAUUUUCGCUUGUAGAAACUCCCUUCUUGCACUUCUAAGAUCUUGAUUUGUCCGACCUCUUCUUUCUUCAACACCUUUGAAAAUGUCUGGACCCUCCGACCGUCAUUUUGAUUUGAACCUUGGUGAAGAGGUAGUCCCGUCUUCUCCAGAUAACAUAUGACGCCCAUCUUUCAUAUCCCCUACUGGUCCUCUUACCGUUGGGGAUUCGGUGGUGAAGAAUGAUAUGACCGCUGCGGUGGUGGCCCGAAACCUUGUCACUCCCAGAGAUAACAGACUACUUUCCAAACGGUCUGAUGAGUUGGCUGUUAAGGAUUCUCUGGCUCUCAGUGUGCAGUGUGCAGGUUCUGUGUCUAAUAUGGCCCAACGCCUAUUUGCUCGAACCCGUCAAGUUGAAUCAUUGGCGGCUGAAGUGAUGAGUCUCAAACAGGAGAUAUUAGAGGGCUCAAGCAGAGAGAUAAACAGUUGCAUAAGCUCGCACAUAGCUAUGCGACAAACAUGAAGAGGAAGAUUAACCAGAUGCAGGAAUCUGAUGGUCAGAUUUUACUUGAUCAUCAGAGGUUUGUGGGUUUGUUCCAGCAGCAUUUGCCUUCGUCUUCUGGGGCUGUACCGCGUAAUGAAGCUCCAAAUGAUCAACCCUUGGCUCCUCUUCUUCCUGGAGUUCCGCCGAGUGGUGUGGCUUCAAACAGUCAACCUCCGACGCCUCUCAUUUCUGGAGCUCUGCUGAGUGGUGAGGUGGCACCUAAUCGUCCUUGAAGAUCCCCUCUUGUAAAUUUGAUUUGAUUUUUUUUUAAGUAUGUAUAAUGCAAAUUUAUGUAAAAUUUCCAGAAAAAAUAAAUAAAAACGGACUUUAUUUCUCUCAAUGCAUUUGUUUUGUUUUGUUUUUGUUUUUUUUGUUUUUUUGUUUUUGUUUUUUUUGUAAAUACAUAAUAACAUAUGUAUUUAUUUAUUUAUUCUUUUGUAAUAAAAUUGACUUUCUUUAAUAAAACUUUUAUAUUUUUCUUAUUUAUUUUGAUAUGACUGAACUCGAAAUUGAAUGUUCGAGCCGCCUACGUACCCUUCCAAAGAAGAGAUCAAGCCAUAACGUAGUUCAAAUGAGUGAUGAAUUUAAUAGUGAUUUUGAUGAUGAUUUUGCCGUACACAGUUUAUGCUCUUGUGGGCCAGGAGCUUUGGUGUUGCCUUUUAUGCUCGUGCAGACCAGGAGCGUUGAUGUCGCCUUUUAUGCUCGUGUGGGUCAGGAGCGUUGAUGUUGCCUUUUAUGCUCGUGCAGACCAGGAGCUUUGUGCCAUGCAGUUUAGACUCGUGCGGGCAAGGAGCUUUGGUUCGUGCAGUUUAGGCUCAUGCGAACAAGGAGCAUUGGUUCGUGCAGUUUAGGCUCGUGCGAACAAGGAGCAUUGGUGUUGCCUUUUAUGCUCGUGCAGACCAGGAGCUUUGUGCUAUGCAGUUUAGACUCGUGCGGGUGAGGAGAAUUUGUGAAUUUUGUCAAGCACUUUUGGAGAGGCGUUCCUUACAAUCUUCAUAGCAAGGAGCCUUGACCGAGUGAUUGAAGAAGUCUUCGGGAAAGAAGUCGCACAUCGUGAUGGCAACAGACGAUCUUUGUGUCGUAAUUUCAUCAUCUUCAACACGUUCACGUUGCUUUGAAGGUUGACAAGAGCUGCUUUGCCCCCUUUCCGAUUGGCGGACUUGUGGAGGAGACGUAUGCUUCUUGUGCCAUUUCUUAGGAGUGACUUGAGUCCAUCCUUCAAGUUUGCUUGUUUUGGAGGAUGCCCCCGGCGGUUGAGGUGAAAAUUUUGUGUUGAAAGAGCCAGAAGUGAUGGUGGUAUAGUUUGACUUCACCACAUCGUCAAGAUCUAGCUCGAUGAUUCCUUUCUGAGCCCACUUUAUGAUGAGAUCUUUCAGCACAAAGCACUUUUCUGUCGGAUGACUGAUGAAGCGGUGGAAUUUACAGUAUCUUGGACUGUUGGUACGAUUCAUCUCUUCCGGCCAUCUGCACUCAGGCAAACUGAUCACCUUCUUGUCCAACAGGUCAUCCAACAUGGCAACCACAUCAGAGUCAGGGAAUGGAUAAGUCUUCUCUUUAAGCUCCUUCAAAGUGCGUCUACGCAUCUCUUGAUCACGAAAAGCUUCGGUUUGAAUCGUUUUGCCUCGUGUGGAGAUUUUGACGGGAGAUGUGUUGACUGUCAUUGCUUCCUUGGUGGAUUUCCACGUAGCCUUCUCCACCUUUGUCUCAAGAAUUUUGUCGUUCUUGUAGUCGGCGAUCGGUUCCUUCUUCCCAUGAUGGGUGAUGCUCAACUCCAUGUCAUGGGCGUGGGUGGCCAAUUCCUCGAAGGUCCGUGGUUUAAUGCCUUGAAGGAUGUAUUGCAAACCUCAUUGCAUGCCUUGGAUGCACAUCUCGAUUGAAGAGGUCUCCGAGAGCCUAUCUUUGCAGUCGAGGCUUAGAGUGCGCCAUCUGUUGAUGUAGUCAAUGACCGGCUCAUCUUUCCAUUGCUUCAUACUUGUGAGCUCCAACAUGCUUACAGUGCGGCGGGUGUUGUAGAAGCGGUUGAGGAAUUCCCGCUCCAAUUGCUCCCAGCUGUUGAUGGACUCAGGCUCUAGGUCCGUGUACCACUCAAAUGCGUUUCUUUUCAGCGAGCGCAUAAACUGCUUGGCGAAGUAGUCCCCCUCCGUCCCCGCGUUGUUGCAAGUUUUGACGAAAUGUGCAACGUGCUGCUUUGGGUUUCCUUUUCCAUCAAACUGCAUGAACUUUGGUGGUUGAUAUCCCAUCGGCAUCUUUAGGGCAUCAAUCUUCUUUGAAUAAGGCUUUGAGUACAACCCGGAGGUAUUUGAGCUCCCUUCGUACUAUGCCUUGACGGUGCUGGCAAUCAUCUCUUGCAACUGUUGGAUAGAAAGAGAUCCCAUGAGUGCCGCUUCUUGGUCUGGCUCCGGCUUCACAUCGAUUUUCUCCACCGUAGGCUCAUCUUCUGGGUUAGGGUUCUCGCUGUCCUGUGGCUCCAGUUGACUGAUGAGUGCAGCGAUUUGCAAGUCUUUUUCUUCCACAGUUCGGGUUAGCCUUGCGAUUGCUUCAUUCAUUUGAGCCAGUUGUUCUUCGAUGGAGGUAACGCCGAUGGUCAUGACUUGUGCAACCAAUAGACGUGACUUUCCUUUAGACAUCCAAGAUGCUGAAGAAGAACGUCAUUGGUUGUUUUGGGAUGUCAUCUUGUGUGCCUCAGCAACAUGCUUUGGUGCCCCCAGCGAGGUCAGGUUGAUGACAGACUCACACCUUUGAUGCUCCCUUUGCUCUUUUAGCGGCACCAACUUUGAAGUGGCAUGUUAAGGAGCGGUUGUGGUGCUAAUGGAUUGUCCAUUUGCGGCAGAAGUGCUUAGGAUCCUUCCCUCAGUGAUUGCGAGAACGGCUUGUCCCUUGCUUGAUGCCAUUGAUUUUGAGGUGUGUUUGGAUUCCUUAAACGGAGAAAGAUAUGAGAGGUAGAGAUUGUCCCACCGGGCGUGCCAAUUUGUGAACACGAAAAUUUCCUGAAACGAAAGAGACAAGAACAACGUGCACAAAAUAAUAUUUUGGUGUUAAUGGAUUUGUUGGGUUACGAUCUCUUUUAACUUGAUCCUCUGAUUCGAUCUCCGUAAGGUGUUGAUUUAUGGAUGUUUCGUUGAUCUAAGGGCCGUCGAGGCUUGAUCUUGGAUGAACUGUUGGAAGUUUCUUCAAGGGGCCGUGGGCUUGAUCUUUGAAGGUGGAUUUGAGCGGAUCUUCAAGGAGCCGUUGGGGCUUGAUCUUGAGGAUGAGUGUUUCUUCAAGGGCCGUUAAGGCUUGAUCUUGAAUAACGGUGAUGAACGGAUCUUCAAGGGCUUUUGGGCUUGAUCUUGAAGAACGGUUGGAUGUGUGGAUUUGUUGAUGUUGUUGAUCCAAGGGCCGUCGGGGCUUGAUCUUGGAAGAACGAUGAACGAAGAACGAAGAACACUUUCUUCAAAGGCCGUCGGGGCUUGAUCUUGAAUUGGUGAUUGUUGAUCCAAGGGCCGUCGGGGCUUGAUCUUGGAAGAACGGUGAACGAAGAAUGAAGAACGAAGAACACUUUCUUCAAGGGCCGUCGGGGCUUGAUCUUGAAUUGGUGAUUGUUAAUCAAAGGGCCGUCGGGGCUUGAUCUUGGAAGAACGAUGAACGAAGAACGAAGAAGGCUUUCUUGAUUCUUCGGGAUGAACGGAUGAUGAACAAUGAACACUUUCUUCAAGGGCCAUCGGGGCUUGAUCUUGAAUUGGUGGAAGUUCUUCAGGGCCUUUGGGGCUUGAUCUUGAAGGUGGAUGAUUGUUGAUCCAAGGGCCGUCGGGGCUUGAUCUUGGGAUGAACAGUUGUGUGGAUUUGUUGAACACUUUCUUCAAGGGCCGUCGAUGCUUGAUCUUGAAUUGGUGGAAGUUCGUCAAGGGCCGUUGGGGCUUGAUCUUGAAGAAGGAUUUGACGAAGAACGAAGAGAGCUUUCUUGAUCCUUCGGAAUUUGCUUGAAUUUGGGAGGUUGGAUGCUUGAAAGCUUUAGAGUUUCAAAGCUUCAAGGAUUUUGGAUGUGUGGGGAGUAUUCUCUUACAUUUUGGGAGUAGAGAAAUGUAUUUGUGAAUUGGUUUUUGAUACCUUGAUGUAGAAGCCUAUUUAUAGGCUUUGAGAAUGAAUCACCACCACAAAAUAUUUUUUUCUUUUCCAAGCACCAUUGCCUAAUUUCCCACUUAAUACAAUUUUAAACUUGAAGUGGUAAUUUUAUGGCCUAAUUUUCCACUUAAUAUCAUUUUAAACUUGAUAUGUGCAUGCUUUGUCAUUGCCCAAAAUGAGAAGAAAACCUUGUUUUGAUCUUCAAUGGAUUGAAAUGUGCUUUGCCUUGUCAUUGCCCAAAAUGAGAAGAAAAACUUGUGUAAUCCUCCAAGGGUAUUUCUUUUUAUUUUGUUGAGUCACACACCAUGUGUACAAUUUGUAUGACACGUGGCAUAUGCCAUAUAUGCCUUGACACGUCAAAAUUUUAAUGCGUUGGUGAACAUUUAUUUCACCGCAAUUUCGAUGUCUACAAUUUCAUUUCUUGUGAAUAAUGUUUAUCCUGUGUUCUGUCCAAUCGCGUAUUAAAAAAUGUGUGAAGUUUGGAUUAACCACACUCUUUUAGAAUUUCCUUUAUUUACCACUUUUUGAGAAUUUCCAAUAAGACUGGGUGAGUCUCCGCUGAGAAUUUCCUCAACUAACACCACACUACUUGAGGGAUAAUUUGUUAUAUCUUUGAAUAAAGAAUAAAACAGUUUCCUACUUUUGAAGGUACUAUUAACUUACACUAUAUUUGGAUGAAGGUCAAACUUUAUAAAUUGACAUACACCAAAUUCUUUGUUUGGAUUCAUAAACAUAUAAAUUUAGAAUUUCCGCGUGGAAAAAAAAAAUACUUAGAAUUUGAGACCUCCAAUUCUCAAAUUGAAAGUUUAAAAAUAAUAAAUUCCGUAUUCAAUUCAAUUGUUCUUUUAGGUUAACCAAAUAAGAAAAUUCACAAAUUCUAAAAUAUAAAAUCUCAUCAUUUCAAUUUCCGUCAUUUUAAAAUUCCUUAGUAAUAUUAAAUUUCUUCAUCCAAACAUAGUGUUAAGAAAUUUUUUAAAGAUACACUAUUUACACUCAUUUUUAUUUCUUACACAUUUAUUAACUUUGUCCAUUGAUUUCUUCAAUUCAUUUUGCCAGUUAUACAAAAAUUGAGAACAGUAUUUAUGAAUUAAAAAUACAUUUGUAGAUGUCACUACCAAAUUUUUAUUCCUAAUUCAAGAAAAUCUUAUCCAUAUAUGAUUGCCCUUGCCCACUUUAAAUGGGUGCCAUCACUUUACGAUAGAGCAAUCCUAACCGUCCACCUAGGUAAGCAUAACUGGCGAUGCAUGUCGCAAGGGGACCGCAUUGCACAAUAUAAUUAUACUAGUUGAUAAGACAAGUGAUGUCAAUCAAUAAAUUAUUUCAUUAAAACUUAGUUGUAUGUAUCAUAUGUUGUAAUGUAGGGUGUAUGAUAUGCUGACGCUGUAAAAAAAUGUAACCUUUUUAAUAUUACUCAUAAUAGUAAGACUUACCAGUAUUAGGAUGUUAUCAGUGGAAUGAGAAUCCUCUCCAGAUCUUUUUUGUGAGCUAUUAUUUGUAUUUAAUUUUAAAUAUAAAAAAUUAAAAUAAUUUAUGACGGCAGUGAUUCACAUGAUCUUCACAAAGAGAAUCCAAAUAAUCUUAAUUUAUAUCAGUGUGUCUAGAUAACAUGAUCGAGCCCCUUUACUUUUACCCUAUUUAGUAUUUUACAUUUGAACCUGUAAAUAUUCGAUUUUUCUUUGGUGCAACCGAGCACCAAAUAUAGAUUUUUUUUCACUUUUAUAUAAUGAUAAAUAAAGGGCAAUUGGCAGAUUUGAAUUCCAUUCGGAUUGGUCAAAAAUCAUUUUAAAUUGUUUUAUUUAAAAUUAAACACAUAUAGUACUUAAUAAAAAUUAGUCGUACAAUAUACGAUAAACAGAUAUAAUGUAAGGACCUUUAUGAUCUUCACAAAAAAGAUCCAAAGGUUGUGUAGCUGUUUCAAAAGGAUAAUACUCACUUUUGAUUAGUUCAAUGAAAUUUUAAACAUGUUUUAUUGUUUUAAAAAAUAAUAAACAUAUUUAUUAAUGUUUGUUUUACUUUAAAAAAUAAGCAGCACUUGACAACAUUUGAUUGUGCUAAAUAAAAAAUGAGUGACCACUUAGUACUACAGUCUUAUGAUAUUUUUCUUCAUUUGAAAGUGAGAGGUUUUAAGUUCGAAUCUCGUGGAUGACGAAUUUGAUAUCAAAUUAGAUUGCUCACUAUGUGGCUUAGCCGAACUCUCAUUUCCUUUAAUGUAAAAAUAUUGAUGUAUUCAAAAAAAUAAAAAGUGACUAUAGAGGACACUCAAUCUCAGCUGUAUGAUUAAAUCAGACGGUAAGAAAAAUUCUGCAAGCAUACUCGGUUACAUUAAUUGAAGAAAAAAUGGGUAAAUAUUGGGCACCAACGUUAUAAAUACCCUCCACCAUGCACCCAACUCCCUCACACCAUCACAACCCACGUUACAAAUCCUCCUCCUCAUCAUAACCAUUCUGUUUUCCGCAUAAUAUCCAAAAACCUAUCAUGUCUGAAGAGAAACACCACCGCGGUCUCUUCCACCACCACAAGGAUGAAGACAAACCCUCAGACUACCCUCAGUCUGGCUACUCUGAUGAAGGACGUCCCGGCGGCCUCGGUGGUGGUUACGGCGACACCAAUGAUUAUUCUGGUGAAGGACGUACCGGCGGCCUAGGUGGUGGCUAUGGCGACACCAAUGCUUAUUCUGGUGAAGGACGUCCCGGCGGCUAUGGCGGCUAUAACGAGACCACUGCUUACUCUGAGGAAAGAGUUGAAAGACCCGGCGGUGGCCGGUACAGUGAGACUACUGCGGCAUAUGGCAGCACCACCACUCAUGAAUCUGAACUUGAUUACAAGAAGGAGGAGAAGCACCACAAGCAUCUCGAGCACCUCGGCGAGGCCGGUGUAGCUGCUGCCGGCGCUUUUGCCUUGGUACGUAUUGUAUUUUAACCCACCUCUAUAUAUAUAUAUAUUAGAAUAAUGCUAAUAAGACCAAAUUUUGAAAACUAAAUGAUGUGGUUGUUGAUAAUGAACUUAUUACUCAAGUCUUGAUUAACAUGCUUAUUUUCUAAUAGUGACACAUUAUUUGGUUUAGAAAUUUGGUCUUCCUAACUUUAUCAUUCUCAAAAUUUUCAUGAUUUUGAUAGGGUAAUACGGGAGAUCAAAAUUUCUAAACCAAAUUUGCAAACCAAUAGAUGAUUGGAUUAUUAAUUAAGUAUCGAUUGUUUGUUUCUUAUUAACGACAUAUCAUUUGAUUUACAAUUUAGUUAAAAAAAAUUUAUUCUUUCUGUCAUAUCCUUUUGAAUAUUUGAUCACUUUACUCUUUAUCACUUUACCCUUGAUCACUUUACCCAUACUCUUGCAACCGAAUCACCGUCCUCCUCCUUAACCUUCAUUUUUUUGUCUUACAGUACUCCAAUCUAUCAACUCUGUCCAUUGCAACUUUAAUUGUGAAGAAAAUUAAAGUCCUAUCGUAAAAUUAAUUAGUGAUAUGGAGAGUUGCGCAAUUAUUGAUGGACUAGGUAGGUAAGAUACGGAAUCAAAGUCUACCAUUAACAAUGGACGGAAUUGAUGAACCAUAUAGGUAUGUAAGAUACGGAAUCAAAGUCCUCAUGUAAAUGGUACAGUUGCAAUCAGGAGAAGAAAUGAGUUAACUGAUACCUUCGUAAUAGUUCAUGUAGAGUUUUGAUAUUAUUAAGCCUUAACCACCUGAUCUUAUAUAUACGAGGACAAAUCUAAUCAAAUAUGUGUUAAUUUCAAGGUUUGUUUUACAUUGAUGUGAGAUCGAUGCUAGCAAGAUAUAUAACUUAUGUCAGUUUCUAUAUGAUGUGUGUAGCAUGAGAAGCACAAUGAAAAGAAAGACCCAGAGCAUGCCCACAGGCACAAGAUAGAAGAGGAGAUUGCUGCAGCAGCUGCAGUUGGUUCGGGUGGAUUUGCCUUCCAUGAGCAUCAUGAGAAGAAAGAGACAAAGGAAGAAGAGGAAGAGGCUUAUGGAAAGAAGAAGCACCACCACUUCUAGAUCUAUGUGGAUUGUGGAACAUCAUCUUUUGACUACAUAUGCAAUGUUGUGUUUUUACUAGUUAUCAUGUGGUGUGAUCAGUGAGAGUGUGAUGCUUAAUCUCAACAAUAUCGCUACAAUAGUUGAGUGGUUAAAUGUCCUUUUCAAUUAAUGGGUGCUAUCUGGUUUUCUUUUAGCAUGCCAUCUAUGUAUGUAUGUAUGUAUGUAUGUCAUUGUUAUUGUUCAUAAUAAUACUGUUUACUCGGUGUUUAUUUCCUAGUGGCCACAUCUCAUUUUAAAUGAUUUCUUCAUACCAUUAAUUUUUUAAAUGUAAAGACUCAGUAUCCAUAUAACUACGAAAAUUUUUGACAAAACAAAAACAAGAAAAAAGAAAAGGAAAAAAUGGCUUAGCAAGUUUGUAUCCUAUAAGACAAAUGGGUACGUGGAACGAUGGACAUCUCACAAUGGUUUUUGAAUCGUCGGAUCAUCAUGGUUGGACUAUAUAAUUAUCAUUGAUAUAAUAUAAAUUUUGAUUUUUUUUUAGGAAAUUAAUAUCUGAAAACAAUAUUGAUGUACUGCAUUUGUUUUGGACGAUAUUAUACUUUAAUCCAAAUUUUGAGAAAAAAAAAACAUAUCGAACUCAGGUGUACAAGAGUGGCUUUGCUACCCAUGUACAGGGCUAGUUCUGAGUUUUUGGGUGCCCAGUGCGAAAGCUCAAAAUGUGACAUUUUUUAAUACGAAAACAUAUAUUAAAAAAAAUAUUUAAUGAGGGCUGGAACCCAGUCGAAGCUGGAGGGCUAGGACCUCACGCCCAAAUUAUAUUACUUGAGAAAAUAUACAACUGAGGAGGGGACAUGGUACCUAAACCCCGACAAUCAAAAGUACAAUCAUAUACAACCACUCCUAGCAAAUCUCCUUCAAAUUUCAACCUUUAAGAAAUUGUCUUCUGGCAUUUUUUGAAGCAAAAUCAUCAAUUAUAUCAUCAUACUCCAAGUCUUCAAUCUCAUCAUUUUCAAUGCAUAAGAUUGCUAAUCCAUUUAGCCUAUCUUGAGUCAUAGUGGUCCGCAAGUAAGAUUUUAAUAAUUUCAAUUUUGAAAAACUUCUUUUUGCAGAUGCCAUGGUCACAAGUACAGUUAACAGUACACGAUAAGCAAUCAAGACAUUAGGACACAUGUCAGUUUCUUUUACAAAAUUUGCUAUUUCCAUGGAUGUCCAAGGGUUAUUAGAGAGAAAUGCUUCUUCAGGUAAUAUCAUUUGCAAAACCUGCAAUUCGGAAUAUAAGUCAACUCCAUCUACAUCCAUGGUAUUUCCAUGUUUCAAAUGUGCUUCAAGAUUCAUACAAUUUUCUUUUAGCUCUUGAUCAUCCAAUGAAAUUAACUUUGGUGCAUCAAACAAGAAGCCAAAAAUAGAUUCAAAGGAUUUUAACUGUUCAAACUUGUGUUUCAGUUGAGAAAGAGCAAUAUCCACUAUAACAAGAAAAUAAUAUUUCCUAAAUGAUUCUUUAGCAGAUUAUUGUUCCCUCUCAUUACCAUCAACUUCAUCAUGAUGUCUUUUUCUAGGUCUAUGACAUUUAGUUUGAAAAAACAGGGUCAAUUUCCAAAUCAAGUGCAAUUUCAUUAGCAUCACUCAUGGCGGAAGCAAAACCAGUUUCUCUGUAGUUUCCAAAAAAUGUAACAAAUGCUUCAAAUGCCUUUACAGCAACAUCAAGACGCAUGUCUUUAGAUUGUAAUUUUAUGCUCACCAUGUUAAUCUUCAACAAAAUGUCAUACUAAAUAACCAAACUUAAUACAAAAUCAAAACUUGAAAGUUCGCCUGAUGCUAAACAUCUUGCAUCCCUACUUAAUUGAGGAUUUUCAGUAAUUUCCACCAAUUAAACAAAGCAUUUCUAACCUGGGCUACUUGAGACUUAAUUGCUUUAACAUUUUCAAUGUGACUUUCCCAUCGAGUAGUUGACAAUGACUUCAAAGUUAAACCAUCAAUAUGUUCAACCAAAAUAUUCCAACGCUUUGUAGAGUUGGAAAACACCAUAUAUAUGCAUUGACAUGCUCUAAAAAAAGAUUUUGCUUUAAGACAUGAACUUGCCAUAUCACAAACUAUUAAAUUAAGCUAAUGAAAACCACAUGGCAUGUAAAAGGCUAUGGGAUUUAUGUCUAACAAUCUUUUCUGGACAACUUGGUGUUUCCCUCUCAUGUUAGAUCCAUUAUCAUAACCCUGUCCCCUCAUAUCAUCAAUAUCAAGGUCUAAAAUAUCGAUAUUAUCCCGAUAUUUCUUUCGAAAUUUCUGUGUUUUUGGAUUACCGAUAUUUCCGAUAUCAUCGAUAUUUUAGACCUUGAUAGGAACUCUAUGUGAUACUAAGUCACUCAUGUAUCUUACCAUGCAAUGUAUAAAGUGUAAAAUAUUGUAUUAAUUCAUUAUAUAUAAAUGAUUAUGGUGUGUUUAACUUCUUUCAUUAAUUACUACAUAUUUUCUACACUCAAAAUGUUUGUCAGCUCACUAUAUAAUCAACUUAAAUAAGUUAAAUCCAUCAUGAAAUGCAUUUCGUUCCAAUUUUUUGUAAUAAACUAGUAGAUAAUUGACUAAAUAAACAUCCUGCAAAGUUUCAAUAAAAAUUUCCAAGUUUUUCUUAUAAUUUCCGUGGUUUUUAUUCAAUUUUUAUCGAUAUCGAUAAUAUCCCGAUAUUUCCAUCAAAAUUUCCGUAUUUUUGGACUAUCAAUAUUUUCGAUAUCAUUGAUAUUUUAGACCUUGAUCAAUAUCAAGAUCAAGAGAUUUUAGGACAUCUUGCAGCUCGUUAAAAAGCCCUUGUCCUAAUGUAUCUUUCACACUUAAAAACUCCAUGAAAUACUCCCUUAUAUUUAUUGACCUACUUGACAAGUCAACACAUCACAAAAUUAAAGUCAUCUGUUCCACAUGACUUGCAUUAGGAGUACAAUCAAGAAUGACAAAAAAAAAUUUGGCUUCUUUUACUUUUUUAAUGAUUGCGGUUUUGACUUUUGAAGCUAAAGUAGCUAUCAACUCAUUUUUGUUGGAAAUGUGCCCUAAAACCAAUCAUAUGAUGAUACUUUACGAACGUUUCACAUGUUAAACUAAUAUAGUUUAAUAUAAAGGGCAAAAAUUAUUGUUUGUAGCCGUCUCAUAUAAAUGUUAUACGCUUAAACGAUAAGUCCAAGGAAUAUGUAAUUGGGAGAAUGCGAUCUAAAGAAGUUAGAUUCAUGAGACCAUUCUCUUCCGUAUACAUAUCCUAAACGUUACUGAUCAUAGGAUUGUCAAUUGGGCAUUGAUAGUCUGUUAAGAUCAGUACGUGUUAUGUCUUCUCUUAAGGAGAGUGACUGGUCUCGAGUCAUUGGUGUGACUGACACCAAGACAAGCAUGUAGGUGCUCAAUAGAGAAUGAGUCCACUGAACACGAUCAACAAGGAGUUCUCAUACUCAUGUCACAUGAGAACUCGUGGUUGGAAUAAUGCAAAGUAGUCAUUUGACCUGAGGCAUCAUAGUUGUCUUGUGGUUAGGUCCUUGAUCUUUGACUAUGUCAAAGUCACUCCGUCAGAGGGUGUCCAUUGCAUAGUUGGGGUUAAGCCACUUAGCCAUGGAGGCAAGUGAAUGCACAAUAAGGGAUCUCUAACCUUCAAACUAUUUGAGGGAGAAUACUCUAUGAUAUGAUUAAGAAUCUCUGGCCAGAGUAUGAAUGAUAUUUAAGAAGUCGUUCCAAAUCACAUUCAAGGUAAUCAUAUAAGUAAGAGAAUCACAUUGGAUAGUAGACAUGAAUAAACUAUCAAACCAAACAAUGUGGUCAAGAGUAUUGUAUUAGAGUAAGACCGUAUUGCAUUGUAAUCCUAAACUAAAUAGGUUCUCCACCUCUUCUGAUCAGCUUGGGUAACCAUGACAUACUGCUAGGUGUUACUCAUGAUUUGUGGAAGCCCUAAACGUGUAUAAUCACUAAAGGGAGAAUUGAAAGUAAGUUUCAAUUUACAAUCGAUUUGAAAGAGUUCUAAUCGCUCACUGCCUCGCUAAAAGGAACCUAAUGGAUCGUACACCGUGUAAGGUAGAGAUUGAAAAAACAACGGAGAUAAGUAAGGACAAUUAAAUGGUUUAAUUGUUUAUGACAAGAAUUAAUUAAUAUGUUAAUUAAUCAAACGAAUAAGUUCGGGUUAAACCUUGAGUUAGUUUUGGGCAUUAAAGCCCAAAUUGGGCUUCGAAUCUUCAAACCCAUUAGCUUAAGUUGUAUGACAACUUAACAAACAAAAUUCAAGAAGCCCAAAACAGCCCAAAGGCUUGGGAAAACCAGCCAUAUAGAGAGGGGUAGUGAACUUGGCUUAAUUGCAAGUUUGCCAUUCCAUUGUGAGGUGGUAUAAAGGCAACUUUAUAGCCAUUUCAUCCUUAGGGUUUCUUUUGGAGAAAAGAUGAGAACACAAGCUCCCUUUUCUCUCUAAGAGGCUGGCCACCCUAGAGGAUUUUAGCUAGCAAUCUUACUUCCUCUAGGUCACUCAUCUCUUCUUCAAGUCAUUCCUUGGUGUGGAGACUUAGAGGUUCCUUUCAACCAUCUUCAUCCAAGAAAUCCAUGGAGCUAAGAAGCAAGGAAUGAAGGCCCUCGCCUUGGGUGAUUAGCCUUUGCUUAUGCAAAGAGGAAUCAACAAAGGUAUAAAAUUUCUCAACUCACUUUGUUCUUGAGUUGAGUCUUGGUUCACAUAACUACUAGGCUUUGAAUUUCAUGGGUAAUGUUUUGUUUUGAGUGCAUACAAGCAUGAUUCCGCCUUUAAUUGUUAAUUGCAUGCCAUAGAUGUUGCUCAAAUGAACAUGUUUCUCACAAAAUUUCCUUCAAUUUUGAAUUUUAUGGCUCAAAUAGUGAUGAUGAAUCUCUUUAUUCUCAAUAAGUCGAAAAUGCUAUUGCAUUAUUGGAUCAAACUCCGCAUUCAUUUCAAGUAAACCUAAGAAGUUGCCAUUAGAGUCUUCAUAAAGUCUUUCAUUUGUUCCACGAAAUGCUAAAUUACGUAUGGCAAGACAUUUCAUAACAUCAAUAAUUCUAAGCAUCACUUGUUUCCAAUGAUUUGGCUCUUUCUUGAUUUGCAUUUGAAAUUCUUUGUCAAUUGUCUGAUUUUUUGUCAAUCUACUUUUCAACUCAACCCAAGUUCUCGAAUUAAUGAGAUGCUCUUUACUCUUUUCAUAUUGGUCAAGCUUCUUACCAAGAUGUCUCCAAUCACUAGUUCCAUCUUUUGCUAACUCACUUUUUGAGGCAAUUAUUUUAAACAAUUUACAACAAAAGCAAAAGACUUUAUCCAACUCUUUUGAGUACACGAGCCAUUUCCUAUCGUAAAUUUUACCCGUUCGUAAUUUUCGAUCAUAGUAGUGUGAGGAAAAUUUUCUAGAGAAUUUGUCCUUAGGAUAAGUGAAUUAGUUUCUCAAAUUGGUCCUUUUUCUACAAGUAAGUCUCUCAUUUUUGCAUUAAGACCAUCCCAAACUAUUGGAUCAUAAAUGUCUAAAUGAAAAAUAGGUUCAAGAGAUUCAAUAUUUUCUUCUACACCAAAAUGAUCAUCAUCAACAUUUAAAUCCACAUCACCACCAUUUUCAUGAUCUUGAGACUCAUCACCAACAUUUUCCUCUAAAUCACCACAAUUUUCUUGGUCAUGAGACUCGUCAUUAACAUCUUUCUCCACAUAACCACAAAUUUCAUCAUCAUGAGACUCCCCAACAAUAUUUUGUGACUCUUCACCAACAUCAUUUUCUCUCAAAUUUUCAACCGACUCAUUCUUUAUAGAAUUUUUUUUAUUAAGAGAUCCUCUUAAACUUUAGGCAAUUUCGUUAUCCUUUGCCUUUUUUUUCCUUUUCAUAUUACUAGAGAGUUAUUUUCUAAAAGACAUGGCUUUGAUAAUUUGUUUGCAAAAAUUACCUACAUAUGAUAUAACAAAAAUUUCCUAUUAAAAUUAUCAUCAACAAUUCAAAAAUUACCUACACAUGAUAAUCAAGAAUUCAAUUCAUCAACAACAACAAUUCUAUACAUCAAUUAUCAUAUAAUUCUGUCACUUGCAAAAUUUAUAUUAAAUUAUGAAUUAAUAAUUCAAAUUAAAAAAUUAGUUUACCUCAAAACUCAAAAGGGUUGUUGAAUGCAAGGACUUGUGGGCCUGUGGCUGUCGGGUUUGGAAGCUGUAGCCUGCAGCAGCGCAACAAAUUAUCAGACGGUAAGGGCUAGGGCAGUGGGGUAACAAUGGGGUGGGGAAUCGGGAAAAAGGGGAACUUAGGGUUAAUUGGGGGGGGGGGGGGCGGGGACGAGUGGUCCCCUUGUGUUGUUAUUUUUUAUUUUUUUAAUGGCCAAAACCUGGGCUGGUCUUUUUUUUUUAAUUUUUUUAUUAUUUAUAAAUGCCCAAAACCUGGGCCGUUCCCUUCAUUUUCAAACUUGGGCCUCUUGCCCUCUAGUUCUUAUUUUGGGCUCUGGACAAAUUUUUUUUAUACCUAAUUAUUUGGACUUUUUUUUUGGUGCCCCUUUCAAUUUUGGGCCUUGGAAUGGCCCUGGUUGCACUGGGCCUGGGCCGGGCCUGCCCAUGUAUAUGUUAUCUUGUGAUUUGACAAGUCAUAUGUAUAUCAUAUCAAUUUUAUCUCAAUUGUGGUGAUGGUACAUAAUACUUACUACAUCGUAUGGCAACAAAUAAAUAUGGGCAUAAAGAUAAAUAGAAUGGUAUCAGUAAAUUAAGGUCUUCACAUUACGAUUAUAUUUAUCUCUAUUUUUAGUGGAAAGUUUUAAGGAUAAUUUUUUUUCUGCCUCCUACAUGGGUCUCGAUUCUCCUCUACGGUAAAAAUCCGUAUGUUUUAAAUAUUGAAAAGUUAAUUUAGCCCAAAUCCUUGCCUAUUUUAGGGAAAAUAAAAAAAAUUCAUUUUUAACCCUUUGAUUACUUAUAUCACCUAGUAUAACCUUUUUUUUUGUGUGAUACAAACAAAUAUUUUUGUUUGGGCCCAAAAUAUUAUUUUAGGCUGAGCUUAGGUCAUUCUCGGCCUAGUGGCAUUCAUUUAGAAUUUUGUUAUGGGCCGUCCAGUUAAGGUCAGCCGAAUCCUAUUAUGAAAAGGUUUGGUUUGGAUAAGGGUGAGUUGGUCGAUACUAGUGCAACAAGGAUUCUGAAGACUAAGGACAUUGAGAAUUAAAGGGUGAAUUUGGUUUGUUAAGAAGCUUGGUUCAAAGUCCUACAGGAAUUAGGAUUGGUUGAAACCUGAUCGGAUUGGGUUGAGGAGUUCUAAUCCUAGUCCAUUUCUAGUUCGGCUAUGAGGGGAUUCAUUAUUAUAAAUAGAGAAGGGAGUGCAUCAUUCAAAGCCCCUCCAAUUCAACACACAAAUUGCCUUGUGCAAAGCUUCUCAACAACCUUUGAGAUUUUAUCCACUUCCUCUUUCUUUUGCCAACACAUCUUCAGUUUGGAUAAAUAGCACUGUGAAGGCAACCGUCGACAUCUUCAGUUUGGAUAGACUGCACUAGAGCCGUAAAAUUAGCCGACCAAGGAGCACCUUUAGUUUGGAUGGACAACACUGCUUUGAGGCCGACUGGCUAUUUAUUCAAGUCUCGGCUGAGAAGGAUUUUCAAAUCCUUGUUGGUAGAGGUCAUCUCGUCAGCCUUCUCGGCAAAGUGAGGUGUUACAGGUUUCUGGGCUCGGCACAUUGAACGUUGAGUUUUGUUUUAUGAUUAGAUACUCACAAGUAAGUUUUAGAGUUUGGCAUUCCGAUGGCCGAAUCACAUUUACAAUCAAGAUAUAUAUUUCUUUCGAGUAUUUGUGUCUGUAUAGUUUGGUACCAGUUCGGCAUGCUUAUACUCUCACGAAUAUAAUCACUAUGAUCGAACCUGAUGCCGAUGAUUUGUGAACUUCAUAGAACUAGCAACCUUGUCUUCAGGCAUUAUAAUCCAAAGGCCGAGACAUGUUCCUUCAUCGAUCGCAGUCGUAAGAUCGAGAAGUCAGCAGCGCGCCCAACGAGACAUCAACACAUUCUAUUCCUCGACCGAGUUGGCACGCCCUGCACAUAACUGAAGGACGUAGUUAGCUUAUUAGUUACUCAGCCUAUGCGUCACGUAGGCUUCAUAGUUUUUAGUGUCAACAUUUUGGCAUGCCCAGUGGAACCCAGUGUUAAAGCUACGAAGUUCAUGACCAUUGAGACACGGUCAGUAAAAAAGAAACCAGUAAUGGGAAAGUUGACAACUAAUCUUCCAGUCUAAAACUCAUGACAAGAUGGGUUGUUAUAGACACAGAUUCAUGCUGCUGCCAUGACACCUGAAGCCACAAGUGCGACAUGCCGAGAAAAGGAAGUGAAUCUUGGCAAUCAGCCUUGUGGUGCAGAAAUCCCCACCAAAACGACAAAAGGCAUUUUUGUUGAAGGAAUAGUGGAUGAUUAUGACGAGGACGGUGGUAAGGCCUCUGAUCCACCAACCAGGUCGUUUUUUCGACGACGACUUGAAGAGUAAUCUUGACAACUUGAGCAGAUGUUCAGCCGAGAGAUAAAAAAACAUAUUUAAAGAAAUGCGUGAUAAUAUCGCUGUACAUAAUUUAUUGCUCGAAGUUCUGGUUAGUAAAGUCCAUGACAUUGGACCCACCAAUCGAUCCAGGCAUCAUUUUUUCAGGAAUAACCCACUACCAAUAGUACAGGUCGAGACAUAAUCCACUUGGCUCAAAAUGAUUAACUUACAGAAAAGUGGUGGGUUAAUCAGCAGAUCAAACGGAUUCGACCAGAGAGCGGAAACGACAUAUGUUGAUAUGGUUGAAGUUUAGAGAAUGAUUGAUUCGGCCUUGAAAAAUGGGCCAAAGUUUCCAAAAUUCAUUCACCCAU
RNAcentral lists this long non-coding RNA (31954 nucleotides) under Malus domestica (apple). RNAcentral describes it as "long non-coding RNA (MDOM_LNC004302)". Lineage: Eukaryota; Viridiplantae; Streptophyta; Magnoliopsida; Rosales; Rosaceae. The record is from RNAcentral.